Molecule: long non-coding RNA, 555 nt
Organism: Cyprinodon tularosa
Lineage: Eukaryota; Metazoa; Chordata; Actinopteri; Cyprinodontiformes; Cyprinodontidae
Exons: 3
Source: RefSeq, a predicted model, not a curated record
AGGGACCUGGUUCUGGUCCAAUCAGGCUGCAGAUGUUCUCCAUGUUCUCCAGCCUGACCGUUCCUGUCUGGAUGCUGGCAGCAUGUUUGGUUUUUACUGCCUGCUGUAAAAUGAAUCAGGGACAAUAAAGAGGAACGGACCCUGAACCUUGAAGUCCGAUCGGCAGCAUGAAGGUGAAUGUUUGAGAGAAAGAGGAAGUGACGUCUGAUCCCACCUGCUGCUCAAUCUGCAGACCUGAACUCUGGGUCAGAGUCCCGUACCAGAUCAGGGGAACCAAGAGAAGAGUCUGGAUCAGGACAUUCUGAAGUCCAAAAGAUGGAGGAUUUGGAUUUGAUCAAACCUGAACCUUCAGGAUCCAGCCGUCCAUCCAUGAGGAGUGACCUGUCCAAAGAUGUACCUCCAGACUACAGUGCAGAACCUGGAACCUCAGACAUAAAAGGUCACAACCGCGGGCAGAGAGCAGAAUCUCCAUCUAUGAUGAGUGACCGGUCCAUUGGAGAGCAACCAGACUUCAGUGAAGAACUUGGACUCUUGAAGUAAGAAACCAGUUUCUAA